GACGAACGCUGGCGGCGUGCUUAACACAUGCAAGUCGAACGGUGAAGCGCCUUCCUUUUUGGUGGGUGUGGAUGAGUGGCGAACGGGUGAGUAACACGUGAGUAACCUGCCCCCUUCUUCUGGAUAACCGCAUGAAAGUGUGGCUAAUACGGGAUAUUCUGGGUCUGUCGCAUGAUGGGUCUGGGAAAGAUAUUGUUUCGGUGGGGGAUGGGCUCGCGGCCUAUCAGCUUGUUGGUGGGGUGAUGGCCUACCAAGGCGGUGACGGGUAGCCGGCCUGAGAGGGUGGACGGUCACACUGGGACUGAGACACGGCCCAGACUCCUACGGGAGGCAGCAGUGGGGAAUAUUGCACAAUGGGCGCAAGCCUGAUGCAGCGACGCCGCGUGAGGGAUGGAGGCCUUCGGGUUGUGAACCUCUCUCGCCAGUGAAGCAGGCCUGCCUCGUUUGUGGGUGGGUUGACGGUAGCUGGAGAAGAAGCGCCGGCUAACUACGUG
Molecule: ribosomal RNA, 494 nt
Filed under: uncultured bacterium
Lineage: Bacteria
Description: partial 16S ribosomal RNA
Rfam family: Bacterial small subunit ribosomal RNA
Source: RNAcentral